Molecule: ribosomal RNA, 257 nt
Filed under: uncultured bacterium
Lineage: Bacteria
Description: partial 16S ribosomal RNA
Rfam family: Bacterial small subunit ribosomal RNA
Source: RNAcentral
GCCAGUCGAGGGGUAACAGAUGAAGAUCUUGCUCAGAUUGCUGACGACCGGCGCACGGGUGAGUAACACGUAUGCAACCUACCUUUUACAGAGGGAUAGCCCAGAGACAUUUGGAUUAAUACCUCAUAAUAUUUUUAACUCGCAUGAGUUUUAAAUUAAAACUUCGGUGGUAAAAGAUGGGCAUGCGUUCUAUUAGUUUGUUGGUGAGGUAACGGCUUACCAAGACUACGAUAGAUAGGGGUUCUGAGAGGAGAAGC